GCGGGAAGAGCUCAAAUUUGUAAUCUGGCACUUUCAGUGUCCGAGUUGUAAUCUCGAGAAGUAUUUUCCGCGCCGGACCGCAUACAAGUCUGUUGGAAUACAGCGUCAUAGUGGUGAGAACCCCGUAACUGAUGCGGAUGCCCGGUGCUUUGUGAUAUACUUUCGAAGAGUCGAGUUGUUUGGGAAUGCAGCUCAAAUUGGGUGGUAAAUUCCAUCUAAAGCUAAAUAUUGGAGCAAGACCGAUAGCGAACAAGUACCGUGAGGGAAAGAUGAAAAGCACUUUGGAAAGAGAGUUAACAGUACGUGAAAUUGUUGGAAGGGAAACGCUUGAAGUCAGACUUGCUAUUCGGAGUUCAGCCGCAAGGUGUAUUCUUCGAUUUGCAGGCCAGCAUCAGUUUUUGGGGGUGGAAAAUCGUGGUUUGAAGGUAGCAGUUUCGGCUGUGUUAUAGCUUUCCACUGGAUUCAUCUUCGGGGACUGAGGAACGCAGUACGCUUUUUGCAAGGCUUUCGAGCUUUUCGUACUU
This 524-nucleotide ribosomal RNA is filed under the name Leucosporidium creatinivorum. RNAcentral's name for it is "partial large subunit ribosomal RNA". It matches the Rfam family "Eukaryotic large subunit ribosomal RNA", at positions 98 to 634 of the family's 3401-position model. The record is from RNAcentral. Lineage: Eukaryota; Fungi; Basidiomycota; Microbotryomycetes; Leucosporidiales; Leucosporidiaceae.